This 468-nucleotide ribosomal RNA is filed under the name uncultured bacterium. Its description in RNAcentral is "bacterial SSU rRNA". It matches the Rfam family "Bacterial small subunit ribosomal RNA", at positions 28 to 524 of the family's 1533-position model. The record is from RNAcentral.
GAUGAACGCUGGCGGAGUGCCUAACACAUGCAAGUCGAGCGGCAGCGCGAGUAGUUUACUACUUGGCGGCGAGCGGCGGACGGCUGAGUAACGCGUGGGAACAUGCCCCAAAGUGAGGAAUAACUGCCCGAAAGGGUAGCUAAUGCCGCAUACGAUCUUCGGAUUAAAGGAUUUAUCCGCUUUGGGAGUGGCCUGCGUACGAUUAGAUAGUUGGUGAGGUAAUGGCUCACCAAGUCUACGAUCGUUAACUGGUUUGAGAGGAUGAUCAGUCAGACUGGAACUGAGACACGGUCCAGACUCCUACGGGAGGCAGCAGUGAGGAAUCUUCCACAAUGGACGAAAGUCUGAUGGAGCAACUCCGCGUGCAGGAUGAAGGCCUUCGGGUCGUAAACUGCUUUAUGAGUGAAGAAUAUGACGGUAACUCAUGAAUAAGGGUACGGCUAACUACGUGCCAGCAGCCGCGGUAAU